This 342-nucleotide ribosomal RNA is filed under the name uncultured Pseudomonadota bacterium. RNAcentral's name for it is "bacterial SSU rRNA". It matches the Rfam family "Bacterial small subunit ribosomal RNA", at positions 29 to 351 of the family's 1533-position model. The record is from RNAcentral. Lineage: Bacteria; Pseudomonadati; Pseudomonadota.
AGCGAACGUUAGCGGCGGGCUUAACACAUGCAAGUCGAACGAGAAAGCGCCCUUCGGGGCGUGAGUAAAGUGGCGCACGGGUGAGUAACACGUGGGUAACCUACCCUCUGGCGCGGGACAACAGCUCGAAAGGGCUGCUAAUACCGCAUAAGUCGGUGACGGCCUCGGCUGUUACCGGGAAAGGAUGGCCUCUCCUUGGAAGCUAUCGCCGGAGGAUGGGCUCGCGGCCCAUCAGCUAGAUGGUGAGGUAAUGGCUCACCAUGGCCAAGACGGGUAGCUGGUCUGAGAGGAUGAUCAGCCACACUGGGACUGAGACACGGCCCAGACUCCUACGGGUGGCAG